RNAcentral lists this ribosomal RNA (480 nucleotides) under uncultured bacterium. RNAcentral describes it as "partial 16S ribosomal RNA". It matches the Rfam family "Bacterial small subunit ribosomal RNA", at positions 28 to 507 of the family's 1533-position model. The record is from RNAcentral.
GACGAACGCUGGCGGCGUGCUUAACACAUGCGAGUCGAACGAUGAAGAAAAGAAUUGAAGCUUCGGCAGAAAUUCAUUUCGGAUUAGUGGCAGACGGGUGAGUAACGCGUGAGCAACCUACCUCUUACAAAGGGAUAGCCUCGGGAAACCGGGAUUAAUACCAUAUAACAUUGCGACGAAGCAUUUCGAUGCAAUCAAAGCUACGGCGGUAAGAGAUGGGCUCGCGUCCCAUUAACCAGAUGGUGAGGUAACGGCUCACCAUAGUAACGAUGGGUAACCGGCCUGAGAGGGUGAACGGUCACACUGGAACUGAGACACGGUCCAGACUCCUACGGGAGGCAGCAGUGGGGAAUAUUGCACAAUGGAGGGAACUCUGAUGCAGCGACGCCGCGUGAGUGAUGAAGGAAUUCGUUUCGUAAAACUCUGUUCUAUGGGAAGAAAAGGACUGUACCAUAGGAGAAAGCUCCGGCUAAAUACGUG